Molecule: ribosomal RNA, 407 nt
Filed under: uncultured bacterium
Lineage: Bacteria
Description: partial 16S ribosomal RNA
Rfam family: Bacterial small subunit ribosomal RNA
Source: RNAcentral
AUUGAACGCUGGCGGCGUGCUUAACACAUGCAAGUCGAACGAAGUGGCGAACGGGUGAGUAACGCGUAAUCAACUUGCCCUUCAGGGGGGGACAAUAGUUGGAAACGACUGCUAAAACCGCAUACUGAAGGAGGGGAUUGGGUCUGAUUAGCUAGUUGGAGGGGUAACGGCUCACCAAGGCGAGGAUCAGUAGCCGGUCUGAGAGGAUGAACGGCCACAUUGGGACUGAGACACGGCCCAGACUCCUACGGGAGGCAGCAGUGGGGAAUCUUUCGCAAUGGACGAAAGUCUGACGGAGCAACGCCGCGUGAGUGAUGACGGCCUUCGGGUUGUAAAGUUCUGUUAGUCGGGACGCGGUACCGGAAUAGAAGGCCACGGCUAACUACGUGCCAGCGGCCGCGGUAAUC